CCUCAGCUCUUCGUUUUCCCUUCUCGAACUCCAGUCUCAAAGGGAAAGCCGUAAACCUGCUUCUGAGUCUCAGUUUCCCCUCUGGGGUUGAAAACAACCAGCAGCCUGCAGGCUUGGCCGUGUUCCUGCUUCUCAACAACAGUUUAGGGGAAUAUACGGUCAGAGCUCUCAGGGCACCUUGAUGGGCUGAUAGUCACGAAGCACGGAACUAAAACAGUCUCCUGGCUACUAAAGGACAAGUUGACGUUUCAGAAGGAGAGUGCUACUCACAUCAGUUGAAUAGAGGCCAGGGAUGCUCUCACCAUGCACAGGACAGCCCCCCAUGAUAAAGAAUCAUCUGGCCCAAAGGUCAAUAAUGCUGAAAAACUGGAAUGCAAGGAUAUGAAGAUGAAGUAAACACACAGAAUCACUUAGCAUUGACUUGUACCGAUUCACAAUAUUCAGGAACAAAUCUGAGCUUUUCUGACCUUAAAGUUCUUGGAAAAGAGACCAGACCUGCAUCAAUUACAAUAAACGAGAGCAAUCACAAAGCAUAUGUGCUCCUUCUUUUAAUUUUAGUGAUAUGAAUAAGGCAUUUUGGAGGAAAACAACCCACAGGCUAGGUGUAAGUCCCAUGGAUAAGUCCAUGGCCACUCAUCUGUGCUGCCACCUCCAGCAGAUUAUACAAGAACCCAAGAAAAAGAAUUUAUCCUUCUAUGUUAAAGAAGCAACAGAAUUGGACAGAUGAGACAAGCCAUAGAAAUGCCAUGCCAUGGACUCAAGAAUGAUUUUGUAUCAGACUUCAAAGAUCAUACAGCAUUUCCAGAUUUCUUAACAUCAACAGCUGAAGGAAAAAUGAUGAAAACUGCAGAAAUGUAUAUUACCAUGCUGAUCUGAUGUUUGAUGGCUUGUAGAGUUUGUAAGCUCUUCUGGUUCUUCUAUAUGAGCCACUGCUGCAGCAUGGAUACUGAUAGACAAGUGGUGUGGUUUCAUGCCCGGGGAACCGAACCCAAGCCAUGAAGCAGAGGGUGCCGAACUUUAACUGCUACGCCAUCAGGGCUGGCUCCAGAAGAGGUCUCAGCAGAGGUGCCUGAAGAAGACCUCUACCCAAAGCCUCAUAAUGUUGAACAUCUAAUUCUUGACAUCAGAGAUGGAGAGUUAGAGACUGGAUAUGAGGGACAGAGCCAAUGAGGAAGACAGUCAGUUAGCCUUGGAAGCCCCAGCACGAACUCAUGGAGUGAUGUCAGAUGUCCAGAGGACACAAGGAGAGGAUGCAGACAUUUCCUGGUUACAGCUGACUUCUGCAGUGGUGACCUGACUUAUGU
Equus caballus (horse) is the source of this 1304-nucleotide long non-coding RNA. The record is from Ensembl. Lineage: Eukaryota; Metazoa; Chordata; Mammalia; Perissodactyla; Equidae.